Long non-coding RNA from Oncorhynchus kisutch (coho salmon), 1319 nucleotides. RefSeq lists it as uncharacterized. Lineage: Eukaryota; Metazoa; Chordata; Actinopteri; Salmoniformes; Salmonidae. The transcript has 3 exons. The record is from RefSeq and is a predicted model, not a curated record.
UGGUUAUACCCACGUGGGUGACUGAAAGACGAACUGUUUUGCUGGUAGUUGUGGUAAUAAAAUUAAAGUUUAGAUGCGAUCACCAUAUAAGUUAAACAAUGAAAAAGCCUGGAAGGAGGAGAGAUGACUAGAAAUGAUUCGGUUGGCCGUUUUUUGUCGGAGUAGAGGUCCUUGUGCAUUUCAGGACCUUCAGUUGGAGGAUGACAUCAGAGGCUUCACCCAUCAUCCCUCACAUGACAACUCACCACAUCUCAGAAAGUCCUUCAUAACUUCCACAAGUUCUCAAGGUUCGUCAAGGCAAAGCAGAACCCUACUUGACGCCCAAAACCAGAUGGCAAAGUUAUCAUAAACCAGAAUAAAUCAUGUCACAAUACAGGUAGAAUACAUCCUGUACAGUAGGCAGUCUGUCCUCUUCUUGGCAUAGUUCAGUGUCUUACAGACUGCCUAAAGCUGGGUCAAUAUCAACUCCCUGUGGACCAGGUUUAAAUGACAAUGUAUGGUCCACGGUGUCUUCAAUGGAACCACACCACAUGGCCACAAGAGUAUAAUGGCUUCACACUUUCAGGCAAAGCAUCUCUCUCACACACACUUGAGGGCAAAGCAGCAGAUGAAUGGUGUCCAUGGUUGGAAGUAGCGCUGUAAAUGAACUAAAAUGAAUCAUUCCCUUCUACUCUCUUCUCUUGUCCAGAAUGCAUUAGAGAUGUGUGUAGAUGACCCCACCCUGUCAGCCAGACACAUGACAAUGAAUGUACUGUAGAAACAUGCCCAACCCAGCCUAAACAGUAAGGGGAUUCCCCAGUGUGUGUGUGUAGGACUCCACACAUCACAGCUGAGGUGGCAUCAGCAGCAGGUGUUAACAGCUUUAGAAGACAAGCUGCUGUAAACAGUCCAAAGCACUCAUCUUCAUAAAACACACAUUUUGGAUGUUGCCCUUUUCCCAUGCUGCUAAAUCAUAAUUGUUUUACUAUUGUAACAAAGUUUAAUCGGGAUAAAAAUGGUAUGUUAUUUUCCAGAGACUGGGAAAGUAAUCCAUGAAACCCAGAAGUUCUCUCUCCUGGUGCAGAAUGAGUUCAGAGGAAAACAAGGCUAAUGAGACAAGACACCCAUAAGGUGAGACACAGGGGCAUCUGAAAUGGCACUCUAUUGCGUAUACACACAUAGGGCUCUGGUUAAAAGUAGUGCACUAGAUCCGAAAUAGGGUGCCAUUUCGGAUGCAACCAGGAAUGCCCAGUAAAAUACUACGUCUAAAAUAAUUUGGUUUUGAAUAUACUUAAGUAUCAAAAGUAAAUGUAAUUGCUGAAAUAUACGUAUAACUCAUG